This 621-nucleotide ribosomal RNA is filed under the name uncultured fungus. RNAcentral's name for it is "eukaryotic LSU rRNA". The stretch from base 214 to 367 matches the Rfam family "5.8S ribosomal RNA". The record is from RNAcentral. Lineage: Eukaryota; Fungi.
AGUAAAAGUCGUAACAAGGUCUCCGUUGGUGAACCAGCGGAGGGAUCAUUACCGAGUUUUCAACUCCCAAACCCUUAUGUGAACCUACCUAUCGUUGCUUCGGCGGACUCGCCCCAGCCGGACGCGGACUGGACCAGCGGCCGCCGGGGACCAUCAAACUCUUGUAUUAUCAGCAUCUUCUGAACACGCCGCAAGGCAAAACAAAUAAAUUAAAACUUUCAACAACGGAUCUCUUGGCUCUGGCAUCGAUGAAGAACGCAGCGAAAUGCGAUAAGUAAUGUGAAUUGCAGAAUCCAGUGAAUCAUCGAAUCUUUGAACGCACAUUGCGCCCGCCAGCAUUCUGGCGGGCAUGCCUGUUCGAGCGUCAUUUCAACCCUCGACCUCCCUUUGGGGAAGUCGGCGUUGGGGACCGGCAGCACACCGCCGGCCCUGAAAUGGAGUGGCGGCCCGUCCGCGGCGACCUCUGCGUAGUAAACCAACUCGCACCGGAACCCCGACGUGGCCACGCCGUAAAGCACCCAACUUCUGAACGUUGACCUCGAAUCAGGUAGGACUACCCGCUGAACUUAAGCAUAUCAAUAAGCGGAGGAAAAGAAACCAACAGGGAUUGCCCCAGUAACG